GGAGAGGUGCCGGAGUCUGGUUGAUCGGGCCUGUCUUGAAAACAGGUGUCCCGCUUAGUCGGGACCGGGGGUUCAAAUCCCUCCCUCUCCG
This 91-nucleotide transfer RNA is filed under the name Candidatus Margulisiibacteriota bacterium. RNAcentral's name for it is "Candidatus Margulisbacteria bacterium (hot springs metagenome) tRNA-Ser". It matches the Rfam family "tRNA". Rfam says of the family: Transfer RNA (tRNA) molecules are approximately 80 nucleotides in length. Their secondary structure includes four short double-helical elements and three loops (D, anti-codon, and T loops). Further hydrogen bonds mediate the characteristic L-shaped molecular structure. tRNAs have two regions of fundamental functional importance: the anti-codon, which is responsible for specific mRNA codon recognition, and the 3' end, to which the tRNAs corresponding amino acid is attached (by aminoacyl-tRNA synthetases). tRNAs cope with the degeneracy of the genetic code in two manners: having more than one tRNA (with a specific anti-codon) for a particular amino acid; and 'wobble' base-pairing, i.e. permitting non-standard base-pairing at the 3rd anti-codon position. Lineage: Bacteria; Bacillati; Candidatus Margulisiibacteriota. The record is from RNAcentral.